This 62-nucleotide ribosomal RNA is filed under the name Parabacteroides merdae. Its description in RNAcentral is "partial 16S ribosomal RNA". Lineage: Bacteria; Pseudomonadati; Bacteroidota; Bacteroidia; Bacteroidales; Tannerellaceae. The record is from RNAcentral.
CCGGGUUUGAACGUGUGCUGUACCGGAGUGGGAAACACUCCUUCUGGGCAAUAGCAGGUUGA